Molecule: ribosomal RNA, 468 nt
Filed under: uncultured bacterium
Lineage: Bacteria
Description: partial 16S ribosomal RNA
Rfam family: Bacterial small subunit ribosomal RNA
Source: RNAcentral
GACGAACGCUGGCGGCGUGCUUAACACAUGCAAGUCGAACGGAAAGGCCCUGCUUUUGUGGGGUGCUCGAGUGGCGAACGGGUGAGUAACACGUGAGUAACCUGCCCUUGACUUUGGGAUAACUUCAGGAAACUGGGGCUAAUACCGGAUAGGAGCUCCUGCUGCAUGGUGGGGGUUGGAAAGUUUCGGCGGUUGGGGAUGGACUCGCGGCUUAUCAGCUGGUUGGUGGGGUAGUGGCUUACCAAGGCUUUGACGGGUAGCCGGCCUGAGAGGGUGACCGGCGACAUUGGGACUGAGAUACGGCCCAGACUCCUACGGGAGGCAGAAGUGGGGAAUCUUGCACAAUGGGCGGAAGCCUGAUGCAGCAACGCCGCGUGCGGGAUGACGGCCUUCGGGUUGUAAACCGCUUUCGCCUGUGACGAAGCGUGAGUGACGGUAAUGGGUAAAGAAGCACCGGCUAACUACGUG